This is an RNA transcript of Solanum dulcamara, 2125 nucleotides long. It is a transcript of the gene named ribulose-1,5 bisphosphate carboxylase/oxygenase large subunit N-methyltransferase, chloroplastic, with no coding region annotated. The transcript has 13 exons. The record is from RefSeq and is a predicted model, not a curated record. NCBI's taxonomy places the organism in Eukaryota, Viridiplantae, Streptophyta, Magnoliopsida, Solanales, Solanaceae.
CUGUCAAUCUUGGAACAGAUAAGGCAAGAGCUCCACUCACUUGAAUACUCUUCUUCUACUUUUUCACUUCUCUUCUCUAUCGAUGGCGGAAGUUUCUAGAAUCCUCCAAUCAUGUCUUCUUCCUCCUUUCUCCCAUAAAAUAGACGGAAUCACUAAUUACCACUUUACUUCCUACAAAUUGUACAGAAGAAAUAGACUCAACAUCGUUAUCCGUUGUUCAUCAAUUUCUACUACUGAAACAACCAAAUCCACAAACACUCAGAAUAUUCCAUGGGGAUGCGAGACUGAUUCUCUCGAAAAUGCGUCGAAUUUGGAGAAAUGGUUGUCGGAAUCAGGGCUUCCUUCUCAGAAAAUGGAUAUACAAAGAGUGGAUGUUGGAGAAAGAGGACUUGUUGCUAACAACAAUAUUAGGAAAGGGGAAAAACUGCUUUUUGUUCCUCCCUCACUUGUCAUCACCGCUGACUCGAAGAUUUUUCUUUGUCUUGAUAUGUGCUGGAGAUGCCAGAAAUGGAGCAAUUCAGAUGUUGGUAAUGUUUUAAAACAAUACAAUGUACCAGAUUGGCCUUUUAUUGCUACAUAUUUAAUAAGUGAGGCAAGCCUCAUGAAGUCUUCAAGAUGGAGCAACUACAUAUCUGCCUUGCCUAGGCAGCCUUACUCUCUCUUAUACUGGACUCAAUCAGAGCUAGAUAGGUACUUGGAAGCAUCACAAAUAAGAGAAAGGGCGAUUGAAAGGAUAAAUAACGUCAUUGGAACGUACAAUGAUUUAAGGCUCAGAAUAUUUUCCAAGCAUCCCGAUUUAUUUCCUGAAGAGAUAUUCAACAUAGAGACUUUCAACUGGUCAUUUGGAAUUCUCUUCUCACGUUUGGUCAGGUUACCCUCUAUGGAUGGAAGAGUUGCGUUGGUUCCUUGGGCAGAUAUGCUGAAUCAUAAUUGUGAGGUGGAAACAUUUCUUGACUAUGAUAAAUCAUCGCAAGGAAUUGUCUUUACAACGGACAGGGCAUAUCUUCCAGGUGAGCAGGUUUUUAUAUCAUAUGGAAGGAAAUCUAAUGGAGAACUUUUGCUUUCAUAUGGAUUUGUUCCUAAAGAAGGCACCAAUCCAACUGACUCAGUUGAGGUGUCAUUGUCACUUAAGAAAUCUGAUAAAUGUUACAAGGAGAAGGUGGAAGCUCUAAAGAAGUAUGGAUUGUCAGCAUCAGAAUGUUUUCCGGUACAAGUCACUGGUUGGCCACUGGAGUUGAUGGCUUUUGCUUAUCUAGUGGUCAGUCCACCUAGCAUGAGCAGACAAUUUGAAGAGAUGGCUGCUGCUGCAUCAAAUAAGGCAAGAUCAAAGAAAGAUAUCAAGUACCCAGAAAUAGAAGAAGAUGCAUUGCAAUUUAUUCUCGAUAGUUGUGAAUCUAGCAUAUCAAAGUAUUCCAAAUUCCUUCAGGCAAGUGGAGAAAUGGAUCUCGAUGUAACGAAUCCAAAGCAACUAAACAGAAGAGUGUUUCUGAAACAGCUAGCAGUUGACCUGUGUUCAAGUGAGCGAAGGAUACUCUAUCGUAGCCAAUAUAUAUUAAGGAGAAGAUUGAGGGACAUAAGGAGUGGAGAAUUGAGGGCUCUGAAUUUAUUUGAUGGACUUAGGAACUUUUUCAAAUGACUUAAAAGAAUGACUCUUCCUGGAUUUUGAAAUCAAUCCUCCUGUUUCCAAGAAAGUUUGCCACUGUCUCAAUGAUCAAAUGGGACUCUGUCAAAAUCAAAUUUCCAAUGCUCACAAUCAAAGUAAGAAAGUCUUCAACAAUAAGAUUCUUGAAUAAGUGAUGACAAAAAGAAGACUUUUUUGAAUUUCACAAUUAUUUGUUAGAUUUCUAUUGGGAUUUGACAUUUAUGAAUUUGAUCCUUCACACCAUACUUAGUUCCGUACAGAAAAAAGCUAAUUGCGCAUUUUAUGAUUUGUAGUUCAUAUAUCUAUAAUAUUUUAUUCAUGGGUGUUAUACCUUAUUGUAAUAAAAAAAAAAAACUAUGCUCAUACUGCACAUAGACUAUUGGUUAUUGUUAUAUAUUCCAACUGCAAUAUGAAUUAGCGUUUUAUUGAUUAUUAUUUCAUUAUUAAUAUUAUUUAUAGGUAUAUAUGGGCUUACCUUUUUCA